RNAcentral lists this ribosomal RNA (527 nucleotides) under uncultured Methanomicrobiales archaeon. RNAcentral's name for it is "bacterial SSU rRNA". It matches the Rfam family "Archaeal small subunit ribosomal RNA", at positions 396 to 922 of the family's 1478-position model. The record is from RNAcentral. Lineage: Archaea; Methanobacteriati; Methanobacteriota; Methanomicrobia; Methanomicrobiales.
GUUANCACAGGCNGUUCNGGNGUCUAACACACACCAGGAGAAAGGGCGGGGCAAGACCGGUGCCAGCCGCCGCGGUAAUACCGGCUGCUCGAGUGAUAGCCACUNUUACUGGGCUUAAAGCGUUCGUAGCUUGGUCGUUAAGUCUCUGGGGAAAUCUUUUGGCUCAACCAAAAGGCGUCUCAGGGAAACUGGCGACCUAGGAACCGGGAGAGGUAAGACGUACUUCGGGGGUAGGAGUGAAAUCUUGUAAUCCCCGAGGGACGACCGAUGGCGAAGGCAUCUUACCAGAACGGCUUCGACAGUGAGGGACGAAAGCUGGGGGAGCAAACCGGAUUAGAUACCCGGGUAGUCCCAGCCGUAAACGAUGUGCGUUAGGUGUGUCAGCGACCACGAGUCGCUGAGGUGCCGAAGGGAAACCGUGAAACGCACCGCCUGGGAAGUACGGUCGCAAGGCCGAAACUUAAAGGAAUUGGCGGGGGAGCACCACAACGGGUGGAGCCUGCGGUUUAAUUGGAUUCAACGCCGGA